This 526-nucleotide ribosomal RNA is filed under the name uncultured bacterium. RNAcentral describes it as "bacterial SSU rRNA". It matches the Rfam family "Bacterial small subunit ribosomal RNA", at positions 776 to 1303 of the family's 1533-position model. The record is from RNAcentral.
AAAUAGAUACCCAGGUAGUCCACGCCGUAAACGAUGUCGACUUGGAGGUUGUGCCCUUGAGGCGUGGCUUCCGGAGCUAACGCGUUAAGUCGACCGCCUGGGGAGUACGGCCGCAAGGUUAAAACUCAAAUGAAUUGACGGGGGCCCGCACAAGCGGUGGAGCAUGUGGUUUAAUUCGAUGCAACGCGAAGAACCUUACCUACUCUUGACAUCCAGAGAACUUAGCAGAGAUGCUUUGGUGCCUUCGGGAACUCUGAGACAGGUGCUGCAUGGCUGUCGUCAGCUCGUGUUGUGAAAUGUUGGGUUAAGUCCCGCAACGAGCGCAACCCUUAUCCUUUGUUGCCAGCGGUUCGGCCGGGAACUCAAAGGAGACUGCCAGUGAUAAACUGGAGGAAGGUGGGGAUGACGUCAAGUCAUCAUGGCCCUUACGAGUAGGGCUACACACGUGCUACAAUGGCAUAUACAAAGAGAAGCGACCUCGCGAGAGCAAGCGGACCUCAUAAAGUAUGUCGUAGUCGGAUUGGAU